UGUAUUUUGCAUUCAUAAUAAAUUAAAUUUACGUAAGUUUUCCCCAUCAAACUAUAUUAUAACUUCCAAUUUUCGCUAUUAUAAGCAAAGCAAUUAAUGCGUUGAGGAAAUACAAGACGUGAUAAACCUUCCUAGUGAAUUGAGUAGAUGUUAGAAUAAAAUGCCAACAGUUCUUCGUAUGAAUGAAUGCAAAAUAUAAAGUGGACCGCAGAUCUACCACCCAAUACCCAUGGGAUUAAAAUAAAGACAACAAACUAAUGAAUUCAGGUCCAGCUGCAAUUCUGAAAUUGUCCAUCUUUGAUCAUGACAGCAAUGCUAUCCACUACGUUCUACAGCUUCAGUGCAUUUCUUGCCAUAGACAGAGCUCCCUCAAAAGUUUGAUUUCCACCGAUGAAUCCGCUCAUAUGGACAAAAACACAACCAGGGAUUCCAGAUUCCCUUGAGAGCUCAUCAUCCCUAAGACCUCGCCACUGAGCUGGUAGAGGCCUCCGGCUUUCAAAUCUAUCUGCACCGAUUGCCACUGCCUGCACUCGCCAAUGUUUACUCCUGUCAUCCUGAUAAAGAACAUAUUUAAUUGAAGGGUCAAUCUUCAGUUCUUCCUCAAGCUCGAAUAAGUGAAGUUUCCAAGGACAGAAUGUAGCCAAAACCAUAAUUUCACCACUAGGGUCGACAUCAAAUCUAGCUGCAAGACACUCCAUUACAAUUGACCGUGCUGGUAACCAAGACCUUGCAUGAAAGCGAACAUUAUCUAAAAACUCACUGCCUGCCAGCGCCAUUGCUUGUUGGAAGGCCUGAUUCUCCUUCUCAGGUGAUUGAUCAGGAUCAAUCCAAUCCAAAUUCAAUCUCCCAACCCUUGAAGACAAAUGUGUAUUAUUCACAUAUCUUGGAGGAAGGUCUGUGUCAUACUGAUUGAUUCCAUUGUCAACGGCAUCAAUUGCCUCCAUGAAGCUUUUGUAAACAGCCAAGAACAACCGAUGCACAUCUGGGUGCCCUUCAUCAAGCUGCAGCUCCUUAGCUAUUAUCUCCUUCCCAAAGUGCUUAUAAACAAGACCAGCGCUGCUAAGCUUGGUAGUGAACCCAUGUCCAAAGAUCUCCUCAAAUCCCUUCUGAUGGUGAUCGUAACGGUCACGACUUGGAUCAUAUACGCCCCCGACAUCAAGCACAGCAUCCAGACCCUCCAACACCUGAGUGUCGCGGGAGCGGACAAUUUCGGCAUUGGAGAACUUGUUGGUGAGACGAAUCAUAAAGCAGCCAAGAGCCUCGUCGCAGUGAAAGCUUCCAUUGUGAGUGCCUACUCGCUUUGGUGGAUGCUGGUAAGGGGAUCCAGUGGAGUAGGCAGGAGAAGAAACAGUUGAGGGAGAAGCCAUGAGAGGGAUUAAGACAGAACCAGAGAGAGCUUUGGGAAAGUUGAAGUUGGAGAAGAGCCUGCGGUUAAAACCCCUGUUUAGUGCCAACAUAGCCCUCGCCUCGCUUAAUUUUUCUGAAG
RNAcentral lists this unclassified non-coding RNA (1486 nucleotides) under Hevea brasiliensis (rubber tree). The record is from RNAcentral. Lineage: Eukaryota; Viridiplantae; Streptophyta; Magnoliopsida; Malpighiales; Euphorbiaceae.